AGAGUUUGAUCAUGGCUCAGGAUGAACGCUGGCGGCAUGCCUAAGACAUGCAAGUCGAACGAGAUGGUCCAUCGAAGGCUGAGUGCUUGCACAAAGCUGGACUUGGGUUGCCAUCUAGUGGCAGACGGGUGAGUAACACGUGGGUGACCUACCUUUUUGUUGGGGAUAACAGUUGGAAACGAUUGCUAAUACCGAAUAAGAUAUAGAAGUCAAUUUUAUAUUGAAAGGAGCCUUUAAAGCUUCGCAAUUAGAUGGGCCUGCGGCGUAUUAACUAGUUGGUGGGGUAAUGGCCUACCAAGGUAACGAUGCGUAGCCGAACUGAGAGGUUGAUCGGCCACACUGGGACUGAGACACGGCCCAAACUCCUACGGGAGGCAGCAGUGGGGAAUAUUGGGCAAUGGGGGAAACCCUGACCCAGCAACGCCGCGUGAGGGAAGAAGGUUUUCGGAUCGUAAACCUCUGUCCUUGGUGAAGAGGAAGAGACGGUAGCCAAGGAGGAAGCCCCGGCUAACUACGUGCCAGCGGCCGCGGUAAUACGUAGGGGGCAAGCGUUGUCCGGAAUGAUUGGGCGUAAAGGGCGCGUAGGCGGCCCGGUAAGUCUGGAGUGAAAGUCCUGCCUUCAAGGUGGGAAUUGCUUUGGAUACUGUCGGGCUUGAGUGCAGGAGAGGUAAGUGGAAUUCCCAGUGUAGCGGUGAAAUGCGUAGAGAUUGGGAGGAACACCAGUGGCGAAGGCGACUUACUGGACUGUAACUGACGCUGAGGCGCGAAAGUGUGGGGAGCAAACAGGAUUAGAUACCCUGGUAGUCCACGCCGUAAACGAUGAGCACUAGUUGUUGGGUACGAAUGUAUUCAGUGACGCAGUUAACGCAAUAAGUGCUCCGCCUGGGGAGUACGGUGGCAACACUAAAACUCAAAGGAAUUGACGGGGACCCGCACAAGCAGCGGAGCACGUGGUUUAAUUCGAAGCAACGCGAAAAACCUUACCAGGGCUUGACAUCCCUCUGACCGGAUCUUAACCGAUCCUUUCUUCGGACAGAGGUGACAGGUGGUGCAUGGUUGUCGUCAGCUCGUGUCGUGAGAUGUUGGGUUAAGUCCCGCAACGAGCGCAACCCUUGUCGUCAGUUACUAACAUUAAGUUGAGGACUCUGACGAGACUGCCGAGGUCAACUCGGAGGAAGGUGGGGAUGACGUCAAAUCAUCAUGCCCCUUAUGUUCUGGGCUACACACGUGCUACAAUGGCCGGUACAAUGAGAAGCAAAAUGGCGACAUGGAGCAAAUCACCAAAACCGGUCCCAGUUCGGAUUGCAGGCUGCAACUCGCCUGCAUGAAGUCGGAGUUGCUAGUAAUCGCGAAUCAGCAUGUCGCGGUGAAUGCGUUCCCGGGUCUUGUACACACCGCCCGUCACACCAUGGAAGUUGGGGGCGCCCAAAGUUGGCUAAUCAAUCUGCUACCUAAGGCGAAACCAAUGACUGGGGUGAAGUCGUAACAAGGUAACCGUA
RNAcentral lists this ribosomal RNA (1499 nucleotides) under uncultured rumen bacterium. RNAcentral describes it as "bacterial SSU rRNA". It matches the Rfam family "Bacterial small subunit ribosomal RNA". The record is from RNAcentral.